UCGGUUUCAAAAAAGUAUGCUUGUUGUUUAGACAUGUGGCGUAUUCUUUUGGUUAUGAGUUGGAAAGCUUAAUUUCAGUUGGUUCAUACCUUGUUGAUUAUUUUGUAAUGGUUUAAUAUUUGUAAACAAUAUUAGUUUGUUUCUGAUUUUUUUAAUUGUAAAUCGUGCAUAUUGUAAAUAUUGUAGAUUUCAUUGAGUUGUUA
Molecule: long non-coding RNA, 203 nt
Filed under: Lathyrus oleraceus (garden pea)
Lineage: Eukaryota; Viridiplantae; Streptophyta; Magnoliopsida; Fabales; Fabaceae
Description: Pisum sativum (pea) long non-coding RNA (PSAT_LNC025398)
Source: RNAcentral